This 408-nucleotide ribosomal RNA is filed under the name uncultured bacterium. RNAcentral's name for it is "partial 16S ribosomal RNA". It matches the Rfam family "Bacterial small subunit ribosomal RNA", at positions 28 to 526 of the family's 1533-position model. The record is from RNAcentral.
GACGAACGCUGGCGGCGUGCUUAACACAUGCAAGUCGAACGAAGUGGCGAACGGGUGAGUAACGCGUAAUUAACCUGCCCUUCAGAGGGGGACAACAGUUGGAAACGACUGCUAAUACCGCAUACUGAAGGAGGGGAUUGCGUCUGAUUAGGUAGGUGGAGGGGGAACGGCCCACCAAGGCGAUGGUCAGUAGGCGGGACGAGGGGAUGAACGGGCACAGUGGGACUGAGGAACGUCCCAGACAUCUACGGGAGGACGCAGUGGGGAAUCUUCCGCAAUGGAGGAAAGUCUGACGGAGCAACGCCGCGUGAGUGAUGACGGCCUUCGGGUUGUAAAGCUCUGUUAAUCGGGACGCGGUACCGGAAUAGAAAGCAACGGCUAACUACGUGCCAGCAGCCGCGGUAAUUC